RNAcentral lists this ribosomal RNA (469 nucleotides) under uncultured bacterium. RNAcentral's name for it is "bacterial SSU rRNA". It matches the Rfam family "Bacterial small subunit ribosomal RNA", at positions 8 to 523 of the family's 1533-position model. The record is from RNAcentral.
AGAGUUUGAUCCUGGCUCAGAACGAACGCUGGCGGCAGGCCUAAUACAUGCAAGUCGAGCGCGCCCUUCGGGGUGAGCGGCGGACGGGUGAGUAACGCGUGGGAAUAUGCCCUUCUCUAAGGAAUAGCCUCUGGAAAUGGAGAGUAAUACCUUAUACGCCCUUUGGGGGAAAGAUUUAUCGGAGAAGGAUUAGCCCGCGUUAGAUUAGGUAGUUGGUGGGGUAAUGGCCUACCAAGCCUACGAUCUAUAGCUGGUUUGAGAGGAUGAUCAGCCACACUGGGACUGAGACACGGCCCAGACUCCUACGGGAGGCAGCAGUAGGGAAUCUUAGACAAUGGGGGCAACCCUGAUCUAGCCAUGCCGCGUGUGUGAUGAAGGCCCUAGGGUCGUAAAGCACUUUCGCCAGAGAUGAUAAUGACAGUAUCUGGUAAAGAAACCCCGGCUAACUCCGUGCCAGCAGCCGCGGUAA